GGAGUUGGCCAGGCAAUCGCGCCAGACAUCGGUCUGGGGAGGAAAGUCCGGGCUCCACAGGACAGAGUGCCAGGUAACGCCUGGGGGGUGCAAGCCUACGGAAAGUGCAGCAGAAAAUAAACCGCCUGCUCUGUGUAUGCAGGGUCGGUAAGGGUGAAAUGGUGCGGUAAGAGCGCACCGCGCAACGGGUAACCGUUUGCGGCAUGGUAAACCCCACUCGGAGCAAGACCAAAUAGGGGAACAUAAUGCGUGGUCCGCGCUGUUCCCGGGUAGGUUGCUUGAG
Molecule: RNase P RNA, 283 nt
Filed under: Pseudomonadota bacterium
Lineage: Bacteria; Pseudomonadati; Pseudomonadota
Description: Proteobacteria bacterium (cold seep metagenome) partial RNase P RNA component class A
Rfam family: Bacterial RNase P class A
About the family: Ribonuclease P (RNase P) is a ubiquitous endoribonuclease, found in archaea, bacteria and eukarya as well as chloroplasts and mitochondria. Its best characterised activity is the generation of mature 5'-ends of tRNAs by cleaving the 5'-leader elements of precursor-tRNAs. Cellular RNase Ps are ribonucleoproteins.
Source: RNAcentral